This 289-nucleotide ribosomal RNA is filed under the name uncultured bacterium. RNAcentral's name for it is "partial 16S ribosomal RNA". It matches the Rfam family "Bacterial small subunit ribosomal RNA", at positions 28 to 299 of the family's 1533-position model. The record is from RNAcentral.
GAUGAACGCUGGCGGCGUGCUUAACACAUGCAAGUCGAACGAAGCACUUUGCUUGAUUUCCUUCGGGAAUGAUUGUUCUGUGACUGAGUGGCGGACGGGUGAGUAACGCGUGGAUAACCUGCCUCACACAGGGGGAUAACAGUUGGAAACGGCUGCUAAUACCGCAUAAGCGCACAGCACCGCAUGGUGCAGUGUGAAAAACUCCGGUGGUGUGAGAUGGAUCCGCGUCUGAUUAGCUUGUUGGCGGGUAACGCCCACCAAGGCGACGAUCAGUAGCCGGCCUGAGAGG